This 73-nucleotide transfer RNA is filed under the name Candidatus Zambryskibacteria bacterium RIFCSPHIGHO2_01_FULL_46_30. Its description in RNAcentral is "tRNA-Thr". It matches the Rfam family "tRNA". From Rfam's summary of the family: Transfer RNA (tRNA) molecules are approximately 80 nucleotides in length. Their secondary structure includes four short double-helical elements and three loops (D, anti-codon, and T loops). Further hydrogen bonds mediate the characteristic L-shaped molecular structure. tRNAs have two regions of fundamental functional importance: the anti-codon, which is responsible for specific mRNA codon recognition, and the 3' end, to which the tRNAs corresponding amino acid is attached (by aminoacyl-tRNA synthetases). tRNAs cope with the degeneracy of the genetic code in two manners: having more than one tRNA (with a specific anti-codon) for a particular amino acid; and 'wobble' base-pairing, i.e. permitting non-standard base-pairing at the 3rd anti-codon position. The record is from RNAcentral. Lineage: Bacteria; Candidatus Zambryskiibacteriota. RNAcentral also lists the same sequence under 2 other names.
GCCAGAGUAGCUCAGUCGGCAGAGCACCACUUUCGUAAAGUGGGGGUCAUGAGUUCGAUUCUCAUCUCUGGCU